Molecule: ribosomal RNA, 419 nt
Filed under: bacterium
Lineage: Bacteria
Description: partial 16S ribosomal RNA
Rfam family: Bacterial small subunit ribosomal RNA
Source: RNAcentral
UGGAGGAUAUUGCACAAUGGGCGAAAGCCUGAUGCAGCGACGCCGCGUGGGGGAUGAAGGCCUUCGGGUUGUAAACUUCUUUUGCUCUGAACAAGGCAUGCUAAUGGGUGUGUUGAGUGUAGGGGUUGAUUAGCGCCGGCUAACUACGUGCCAGCAGCCGCGGUAAUACGUAGGGCGCGAGCGUUGUCCGGAAUUAUUGGGCGUAAAGGGCUUGUAGGUGGCUGGUUGCGUCUGUCGUGAAAGCUCAUGGCUUAACUGUGGGUUUGCGGUGGGUACGGGCUGGCUUGAGUGCAGUAGGGGAGGCUGGAAUUCCUGGUGUAGCGGUGGAAUGCGCAGAUAUCAGGAGGAAUACCGGUGGCGAAGGCGGGUCUCUGGGCUGUUACUGACACUGAGGAGCGAAAGCAUGGGGAGCGAACAGG